AGGCAUGCACUCAGACAUGUUUCAUGAAAAGAGAGACGGAACUGUGCCGCUGCCACUUAUCCGAUCACGAGUAUUCGGCCACGUUCAAAGGACGCAUCUGCAAUCUUCUUGAAGGAAAUGAUUGCUGGAAGGCCGCAUACGCAGCAAACAUAUUUGAGUCGUGCAUGGACCAAUGUCAAGCGUCGUGCGAGGAUAUCACUUACGACAGCCGCGUGGCUGGUAUACGGUCCAUUCCG
Rhipicephalus sanguineus (brown dog tick) is the source of this 236-nucleotide long non-coding RNA. RefSeq lists it as uncharacterized. NCBI's taxonomy places the organism in Eukaryota, Metazoa, Arthropoda, Arachnida, Ixodida, Ixodidae. The record is from RefSeq and is a predicted model, not a curated record. The transcript has 3 exons.